AGAAAGAAAGAAAAAGGGGACACCUUAUCCAUUGGCCGCUGCUUCCUUCUCUUGCAAACCAGCAGUUCAGCAGAUUCCCCCAACCUUCAUUGCUCCUCCCAAGCGCCCCUAUCUAUUCCUUGUCGUCCUCCCUCCUGCGACUGGAUUCAAAUCCUCUAACUUUAGAGAGAAGCUACAGUGCCUCUAGCUUCAUUUACUGUAAUGUGAGAUUGUAGCAAUACUAUACCACCAUAUCUUAUCCGUUUGCCUCUGAUCCAAUGGCCAGUGUCAAUCUGAAGUCACCUGACUUUACUGGAUUGUGAAGUCAGAGGAUCUGGUUUCCCUGCGGCUGCCCCUCCCCUACGCCCUACCUCCUGUGGUCCCUGCUGCUACUGCUGUAAGGGAGGAGGUUGGAGGCCAGCAGCAUGACAAGAGAGAAGGAGAAGAAAAGGAAGAUGCAGAAGAAAGGCAGGGAAGAAAAGGAGACGAGGAAGAGGAAGAAGGAAAGGUCACUUGAUCUUUCUGUGUUGCUCUAGGUGGUGACCGGUGGAGUAGCUGAUGCUAGUGAGUUGCAAGACCGAGAGGAGGAGGUUGUGAGCAGGAAAGAGGGGGCAAAACCAUCCUGAUUCUUGCUGUAUAUAAUAGGUAAUAAUUCAGAUUCAACUGCUGCUGUCUCUAGAUUGGUUUGUGGCUGAUCUGGUCGGGCGCCCUUCUACCGGUGAGGAUUUAAGUUGCUGAAUCUGUAGUGCAGUUUCGACACUCGUUUCAGCGACCUUAGCGAUUUUUUCCCAUAGAACCUGUAAAUUAGAAAGUUGUAGAUAACGUGGAGGCCUAGCUUCUAUAAUAGUUGAAGAAUUUUUGGCCCAGUGGUUUGAGCCUAGUCGUCGUUAGUAGUUCUUUGCUGUGCAGUAAUCGAUUUUUUUGUAAGAAAUCAGUUUAGGGGCCUGUUUUGGUGAACUUAAAGGCUUUUACUUGAAUUGUGAUAAUAACAAAGGUUGUAGAUAAUGUUUCUAGCUUUCCAUAGAGUUUUUAUUCAUCAUUUUUGCCCAUGUGGUUUAGGAGAUAUCACUUACUGAAGAUGGCAUUCUGAACUUUGCCAGAUUUCAAGACAACACUUUUGUAGCUUGUUUUAGGCACUUAAUAUGGGGGAAUUAAAUUAAGUGAAGACUACCAAAAUUUGUAGAUCUUCUCCUUUAGAUGGUGAAAAUCUAUUUAUUUAUCCUCAUAGCUUCGGUAGAAAAAUAGAGAUGAAAUUCACAAGUAGCAGUGCUCCUAGUAACUGAUGUAUGUCGAGAGGGUUGUUUUUGGGUAGCAAUGCAAGUGUCCGUAGGAGCAUCUUAUGUUAUUUAUUUUUCUUAUUUUGACAGUGGUUUUAAGUAUGGCAUUACUACUGUUGAAUCAGGUGGCAGUGCUUAAGUUCUUUUUUUUUACUUAUGGGAAAAAGUCUUUUUCUAGGCGUAUUUCGUUCACCGUCUUCGGUAAUUAGACAAGUAAACAUAUCGAUGGUUGAUAUAACUAUAAAUUUUUAUUUUAAUACCUCUACCUUUAAAUUAGUACACACACAAGGAUCCUAAUAAAUGAAAGAUGAUGCGAUUCUUUCUGUUAUAGUAUGAUUACUAUGUUAAAUGAUGUUCUUUAAUGUUUUGAUUUAGCAAGUGAAUGUAGUGGAUAGCUACACUUUAACCUGCCAUUUGGUUGCCUCAUCUUUUUUAAUUUCAAUGCAUACAACUAAUCUGAUGAACAGAUUAUGAGCUUGUUACCCUAUUGUUUACUUUUCGGAAGUUUACUUGGUCUUAACUUAUGAAGUGCAAGAAGCAAGAUUUGUUGCUUUAAAUUUAUUCAUUUAUUAUAGUGUGCAAUGUUGGAAGUUAUAUUGUUACCUAUGUAUGAAGCAUGUCAUGUAUAUGAAUCUCAUGGAUUUGAAGUUUUGUCAUCGUUUUAUGGCCGCAACCAUACCGGUACAAUACAAUAUGUUACCCGAGAAGAGGUAUGGUGUACACCCUUACGUUACUCGAGAAGGAGUAAGGGUGAGAAACAGCAUAGCAUGUGUAUCUAUACGCAUUCUCAUAGAAGUAUUUUAUUUUGGAAGUUAUGCUUUUAUUUAUGUAUAUAUGUACACACACACACACACACACACACACACACACACAUAUAUAUAUAUAUAUAUAUAUAUAUAUAUAUAUAUAUUGUAUAUUGUAUAUAUAUGCAUCUCAUGCAUUAGAAGUUUCGUCGUCAUCUUAUGACCGCGGCCAUACUAGUACAACGCCUUAUGUUACCCAAGAAUGGGUAAGGGUGAGGAAGAUCAUGACAUAUGCAUUCAUUUGGUGGUACUUACUUUAAUUACAUGGAUGCUUUUCUUCAUACGUAAGAAAGUUAUUUAUUGUUGUUCAGAAGUAAACUAUAUGUUGAUGAGGGGUUGCAGGUAGUCUAUUUGAGUAAUUUUAUUUUCAUUCAAGAUAUGUGGCUAAAUGUUAUUUAACCUUGUGGAGCUGUUCUUAUGGUCUAAGGAUGACUUUAAUGUAGGUCAUGUUGUGGCUAAAUGUUAUUCAAGAUAUGCUUUAUAAUUAUGAUGGUAUUGAUACCCACAUUUUUCAUCAUAGGAGAAGUUUUAGGUAAUUGCAACAUGAAGUCUAUCAAAAUUACUCAUGCCUCUUUUUGAAUCAUGAAAUGCUUUAGCGUGAUACUUGAGUAGGUGAUGUUGUGUUUAGCUCUAGGUUAACAUGAUGAUCGUAAUGGUAAUGGAACCGAGAUAUGUUUAAGAUGUUUCUUAAUCAACUUAUAGUUUAAAUAGCUUGUUAUAGUAGUUUAUUUGCCGAGAUUUCCAUGUCACUAUUUUAUCUCUCCCCAGGUUUGCCUUGAGCAGACAAGCAAUGGGAUGGGUAGCAGCCUGUCCUUUACACGCUUACCACUGUCUUUUGUUUAGCUAUGUUAUGAGGUCGAUUUCUCAUCCUUUAGUCAAUUUUGGGGAAUAAAUGUAUCGUCGUGGUGUGUUAGUAUGUUAGAGGCAUGUCCCUCUUUGCUAGGUUGCUUGAUAUCCAGUUAGUGUGAUGUUUUUAUCUAUAUCUCUCUGAUGAUGUGUAAGUUAAACACUAAUUUACUUUAGAUGUGCUGCCAUUUUUAUGGUUCGGCGAGCUUAUAGGUCGGUUUCAGUAGCACUCCGAGCUUGUGGUGGUCCUCAAGGUGUUACACCCUUAUCUAUUCACUAAAGUUGGAAAAUGAUCCCCACUUCCCUCUCUAUCUGUCUCGUCUUCUUGUGCAAGCUCAGCUCCCUCCUCACCUUGGCAACCAUGGGCGCCAGAACCUUGAGCCCAGUAGCCGCCCCAAGUUCUGCAUGUUACACCAUUGCAAUCCCAAGCUUCCAAGCGUUCCAACCAUCCAAUCAGUUUCUGCAUGCACCGAGGAUUGAGCGAGAUCGAGGCAAGAUAUGAUGCCUCCCAUGACCUCUCACCCUCUACUCUGUCUCCCGUUCACUCAGCUGAGCACCCACCGAGCAUGCAGAUAGCAGCAGCAGCUCCUUAUCUCUCUCGUGCUCACUCUCUCUCUCAACCAGACAAAACACAAGUAGCGCACAUCUCUCUAUGGCCCAGGUGAACAUGCAUAUGCUGUCCCAGGAGCCGUCAACACCAUUCAAGCGCCGUCGUGAGGAGCCCCAUCGCCAACUGUGACCCCGACCAUCUCCAGCCAUGCUCUGACCGCAGCGAGCUCUGCCACGAUCUCCUGAAGCCAACAUGCGCGCCACUUUGGCGUUGACCCAAGUCCGGCGCAGCUCACUGCGGGACUCCAAGUGCCGCCGCACCAAGUACACGCUGCCGGCCAGGCUCCGGAGAGUGCCGCUGGACAAGGAGCCCUCGAAGGGGUUCCUCAUGGAGCGGCCAACCUAUUGCUACCGAAACCAAGACCGCUCAUGGCCGGAAUUGCUGGGAGCACACCAUGGCUGGCCACCAUGACUCCUCUGUGCAGUGGAGCUCGGAUCAUUUGUGACCUGGUCAAGCAGCCGGCCUCACAUUUCAGUCGCUGCGGCUAGGUAUAUCUUGGUGAAAAAGUCCUGAGUAUUUGUUUAUUCGGUUAAGAGAGAAAAUCCGAAAAUGAGUUAUUGUUGUAUUGUUAAUUCAGCAGAAACUUGUAAAAUGCAUAGUAAAUUGAAUGUUGCUCUAACAAAUAUUAAACCACUUAUUCUUUUAUGAUCA
Molecule: long non-coding RNA, 4166 nt
Organism: Phragmites australis (common reed)
Lineage: Eukaryota; Viridiplantae; Streptophyta; Magnoliopsida; Poales; Poaceae
Exons: 2
Source: RefSeq, a predicted model, not a curated record